RNAcentral lists this ribosomal RNA (253 nucleotides) under uncultured bacterium. RNAcentral's name for it is "partial 16S ribosomal RNA". It matches the Rfam family "Bacterial small subunit ribosomal RNA", at positions 524 to 776 of the family's 1533-position model. The record is from RNAcentral.
UACGUAGGGGGCUAGCGUUGUCCGGAUUUAUUGGGCGUAAAGAGCGUGUAGGCGGCCAGGUAGGUCUGCUGUGAAAACUCGAGGCUCAACCUCGAGACGUCGGCGGAAACCAUCUGGCUAGAGUCCGGAAGAGGAGAGUGGAAUUCCCGGUGUAGAGGUGAAAUUCGUAGAUAUCGGGAGGAACACCAGUGGCGAAGGCGGAGACCUGGGCCAAUACUGACGCUGAGGUGCGAAAGCGUGGGGAGCAAACAGG